Molecule: long non-coding RNA, 1629 nt
Filed under: Trifolium pratense (red clover)
Lineage: Eukaryota; Viridiplantae; Streptophyta; Magnoliopsida; Fabales; Fabaceae
Description: long non-coding RNA (TPRA_LNC011959)
Source: RNAcentral
AUAAACAAUGGUUUAACUACAAAUCAUCAUAAGCUGGUGCAAUGGUGCUCUCUAAUUUCAUCCAAAGGAGGAUCAAUGUGUCUCCUCCUGCAAAAGAGAGCAGGGACUUUAUCAAUUAUUCAAAAAAAACAGAAAAAACAAUACAUGUAUAGCAAAUGAGUUCCAUUAGCAGCAAAUAACACACAAAGAAGAAAAUAGAUACUAAAUUGAAGAUACCAAGACAGUCAAUUGGAUAGAUACUUUAUAGAACAAUACAUUUACCAAAUGUAGUCAUAUGCAUAUAAAGUUUAAAGGCGGUUAAUAAAAAAUAAAUAUAAAACAUGAGAAGGAACGACAAAGGCUUUAUAUUUCAUAUCUUGUACAAUUCUUCCUCUAGAGAUUGAAGGAAAACAAAGGAACUCAAUAAAUAAGAAAAUGAAGCUCAACCUGACCAGCAGCAACAUCAACAAUGGCAUGAGCUCUUACACCAGCAACAACCUUUCUAACUAAAGCUUUGGAAUUCUUAUUCAUAUGCAGAAAAUCCUCAAAUACAAUCCUUGCAAAUACACAUUGGACUAACAAAUACCAAACAUGUCAACAUAACAAAUUAGACAAAUAUUUAGAUUGUGGCAAUAAUUAAAGUAAGGGACACCAAUUAAAGUAAACAUUGAAUCAAAGGAAUUAGAAAAACAAUUAUCAUAGCAAAAUAUAUAAACAAUAAUUUAGAAAAUUAAAAAACAUACCUGCUUCAUUUGGAUACUUCUCCAGCCGUGAAAAUUGCAGAAACCCCAUGUAUUUACAUACCUUAAUGAAAGGGCACAUUUAAUUAGUCAUGAAAUUCAAAGCCAAAAAAAAAAACGUAAUAAAAAAUCAUGAAAUCCAAGGCAAGAACAAAAAUAGAAAAUUACGGAGCUCCCCCAAAUUCAUCAAACUAAAGCUAAUACUGUUAAAUGACAUACCUUUUUUCUCAGAUUCGUCAGCAGCAAUCUCUGAUUGCACAUGAAGAAGAAGAAGAAGAAAACAAAAACAAAAAAAAAAACACGAUGUGAGGAAUGAAGAAGCAUCAUCAACGUAAAUUGAAGAAAAAAAAAUAGAAUAGAUCUGGAAUUCAAAAAUAAAUAUGAAUCUGUAAAUCAAAAAACGAAAAAUGGAUCUGAAGUGCAUACCUUCGUUGCAGUCGUGUUCUCUGCUUCAUCAUUCGUUCUCUGAGUUUGUCAAAAGAGAGGGAGAAAUGAAAGAAUCGAAAAAAGAGAGGAAGCUAAAUGAGAGAGGUUUUUGAAUUUCAAAUGAAAGAAUUCCCGGUUUGAUAGUCUUACUUGUGAAUUGUGAAAGUGACCUGACCUAAGAAAGAUACAAAACUCUGCAAUGAAAGGGAUGACUCACGCAAUAAGUGAAACUGUGAGAAGAAGAUGUUGCAUGAUAAGUGAUUGAAACUUUUUGGUUGUGAAAAUGGUUUCAAAUUUCAUAGCCAAAAGAAGAAGAGGAGUUCUGCAUUCUGAAACAGUGAAAACGACUUAUCGAUGCUCUUCCACUGUCCUGUUUUGCCCACAUGCGUUUUUUUGCUUCUUUUCAACAAACCGGACCGGGCUUGGUUGGGCCUUGUUGGACUGGACAUAUGUUUAUGGCCCAGCAAGCUAAGUGAUGAAUGAG